UAGUGGUCCAAGGCAGAAGGGAUGGU
Molecule: non-coding RNA, 26 nt
Filed under: Homo sapiens (human)
Lineage: Eukaryota; Metazoa; Chordata; Mammalia; Primates; Hominidae
Source: RNAcentral